AUGGCGAAUGUUCAAGCCAGGAUUCUUCAUCUGGAUCUCUCUAUCAUCAUUAUUUUCCUGAUUCAUGCAGAUUAUUCAAUAUCCAAUCAAGAGCCAAUGAUUAAGCAGCACAUCAACAAAACAGUGUUUGCGGGGGAAACAGUUACACUUCACUGCAACAAAACCAAAUAUGAUGAUGAUUUCACAUGGAAAAUGAACAGCUUCGUUAUUUUUAGGCAUGACUCUGAAAGUAACAGAACAAUGAGAAACUUCAGCUCAGACAGGAUUCACAUCGACCCAGCAGCUCCAAGAGAGUUAACAAUACAACAAAUACAAGCGUCAGGAAACUACAGCUGUUACCCAGCAGCAAUAAGAUGGACAUUAACAAUAACAGUAAACACAACCAGACCAGAAUCCCUCAAACAAAUGCCGCUGUACAUCAUCAUCAUCAUCAUCAUCAUCAUAUUCAUCUGUCUGAUCAUCACCAUCAGCAUCUGCAUUCACAGGUCAGUCAUUAUUGUUUGUAUUUUUAAGGUUGAUUUUAAAGAUGAAUAUCCUUCCCAAGUAACCAAAUAUCACUACAUUUGUAUAUACACUGUAUAUCUUUUCAUGGUGAAAUGUGUUUUUAUUGAACACGUUUUAUAAUGCCAUCAUAAUUUGUAUCCAUUACUUUUCAAAAUCCUUUUCUGCAUAUGUUUUAACACCUUUUCCGGUAACACUAUUUUUAUGGUCCCCUUUGAACAUUCUGUUGACGAUAAGUAACGUUGCACCAGUAUGUUAACUCUCAUUAGACUGUCUGCUUAAUAUCUGUUAACUCUUUAUUAUGAUGUCUCCCAACAGACAUUCUUCAUGUUACUUCACAUGUACAUGUCAACUUAUUCUACUAACCCUAACCCUAGCAGUCUACUAAUACUCUACUAAUACUCUAAUAACAGUUAGUACAUGUCAGUUCAACAUUACGUACAGUCAACAGAAUUUGUUAAAGUGAAUAUUUUCCUUAUACCAGACUUUUGAUCUUGAAAUAUGAAAAUCCUUGAUAAAAAUAAGAAUAACAUUUUUAUCUUAACCCCUUAAAGCUGCAGUAGGUAACUUUUGUAAAAAAGUUUUUUUUUUUUUACAUAUUUAUUAAACCUGUCAUUAUGUCCUGACAGUAGAAUAUGAGACAGAUAAUCUGUGGAAAAAAAUCAAGCUCCUCUGGCUCCUCCCAGUGUCAUAUUGCCAUUUGCAGAAAUUCCAUUGCUCCCGGUAAAAAACAACCAAUCAGAGCUGCGGUCCGUAACUUUGUUUGUGUUCAAAAUGUAGAAAAAUGUAUAUAAUAAGCGAGUACACCAUGAAUCCAUUUUCCAAACCGUGUUUUUGGUUUGUCCUGAAUCACUAGGGUGCACCUAUAAUAAGUGUUUAUAUUGGGACUAUUUUAGAUUGCUUCUGGGGUACCGCGGCGGAGUAACCCAGAACCUUUGUGAUUCUUCAUAGACAUAAACAGAGAAGUAGUUCCGGCUACGAUGUUCUUCCGCAAGACGCAAGCAGUUCUGUUUGUUAACCGCUAGAGCGUUAAAAGUUACCGACUGCAGAUUUAAUUGUCACUCACGUUUUUGAAGAUAGACUUUAAUGUGCAUGAUACAAACCUACAUUUUUAUAAUUCAUGACUGAAAACAUUUUGUAACAUGAUUUUGAUGUAUCAUUUACAUGGUAAUGCAAUGUCUGAUUUUAAAAUGGGUUUUAAAGGAUGAAUUUUGAGAUUUUAUGUUUUCAAGUGAUAUAUAACUUCUGAUGAUUUCUAAAAUGUGAUAGAGAAAAAGGCAACGAGGAAGUCUUUUUUAAACAAAGGUCAAAACUCCUUUUGUAAUGUAGAUUUAUGAGGGUGCACUCUUGUCAUAAAUUCAUCUAUUACAUUUCCUACAUAAUUUUUUACAAAAAAUAUUGGUAAAAUAUAUAUUUGGGAGUCUUAGACCUUUCCAACGAUAUAUAGUUUGUCAAGAUUAGAUUAGAUUAGAAAUCUAGUAUAGCCAACGUAGGCGUUCUGGAUUUGGGACGGGGUGACAGUUAACAGGUUAAUCUAAGGAAAUAUAUAUUUAUAUAUAUAUAUAUAUAUAUAUAUAUAUAUAUAUA
Long non-coding RNA from Carassius auratus (goldfish), 2088 nucleotides. The record is from Ensembl. Lineage: Eukaryota; Metazoa; Chordata; Actinopteri; Cypriniformes; Cyprinidae.